RNAcentral lists this small nucleolar RNA (154 nucleotides) under Ochotona princeps (American pika). Its description in RNAcentral is "Small nucleolar RNA SNORA70 (ENSOPRG00000023774.1)". It matches the Rfam family "Small nucleolar RNA SNORA70", at positions 22 to 135 of the family's 135-position model. From Rfam's summary of the family: snoRNA U70 seems to be exclusive to mammals and is a member of the H/ACA class of snoRNA which contain H (ANANNA) and ACA box motifs. The record is from RNAcentral. Lineage: Eukaryota; Metazoa; Chordata; Mammalia; Lagomorpha; Ochotonidae.
AUGCAACAGUCCUCUCGAGGAUUUAAUUUCUCUAAAUCUCUUUUUAAAGAUUUCCUGGGUGCCUGGUGUGCAAUGGUUGCAAACAACAUCCUCCUUGGUAGUGCAUGCAACCUGUUCCUUGUAUGGAUUGCCCUAAGGGACCUUGGAGACAGUC